This 650-nucleotide ribosomal RNA is filed under the name Climacocystis borealis. RNAcentral's name for it is "eukaryotic LSU rRNA". The stretch from base 225 to 378 matches the Rfam family "5.8S ribosomal RNA". Lineage: Eukaryota; Fungi; Basidiomycota; Agaricomycetes; Polyporales; Climacocystaceae. The record is from RNAcentral.
CUGAAGGGACUGCGGAGACAUUAUUGAUUAAUGGACGGAGUUGCUGCUGGCCUUUAUCGGGCAUUGUGCACACUUCGCUUCAUCCAAUUCCUAUACCUCUGUGCACCUUUCAUAGGUUGGUUUGUGGCUCUCUGCCUUGCUGCAGAAGUAGCUCUGACCUUCCCGUGUUUACAUUUAUACGUCUCAGUUUAGAAUGUCUUAUUGCAGUCUAAUGCAUAUAAUACAACUUUCAGCAACGGAUCUCUUGGCUCUCGCAUCGAUGAAGAACGCAGCGAAAUGCGAUAAGUAAUGUGAAUUGCAGAAUUCAGUGAAUCAUCGAAUCUUUGAACGCACCUUGCGCUCCUUGGUAUUCCGAGGAGCAUGCCUGUUUGAGUGUCAUGGUAUUCUCAACCCUCCAAAUCUUUGCGGAAAUGGAUGGGCUUGGAUGUGGAGGUUUAUGCUGGCUUCUAUAUGAGGUCGGCUCCUCUGAAAUGCAUUAGCACGAAUCUUACUUAAUGUGCCUCAGUGUGAUAAUUGUCUACGCUGUGGUCAUGAUGUAUAAUAUAUUUGCGCUUCUAACUGUCCUGUUGUGGGACAAUUUCUUUGACAUCUGACCUCAAAUCAGGUAGGACUACCCGCUGAACUUAAGCAUAUCAUAAACCGGGAGGAAA